This 465-nucleotide ribosomal RNA is filed under the name Vreelandella stevensii. Its description in RNAcentral is "partial 16S ribosomal RNA". It matches the Rfam family "Bacterial small subunit ribosomal RNA", at positions 338 to 795 of the family's 1533-position model. Lineage: Bacteria; Pseudomonadati; Pseudomonadota; Gammaproteobacteria; Oceanospirillales; Halomonadaceae. The record is from RNAcentral.
CCUACGGGGUGCAGCAGUGGGGAAUAUUGGACAAUGGGCGAAAGCCUGAUCCAGCCAUGCCGCGUGUGUGAAGAAGGCCUUCGGGUUGUAAAGCACUUUCAGUGGGGAAGAAAGCCUUGGGGCUAAUACCCUCGAGGAAGGACAUCACCCACAGAAGAAGCACCGGCUAACUCCGUGCCAGCAGCCGCGGUAAUACGGAGGGUGCGAGCGUUAAUCGGAAUUACUGGGCGUAAAGCGCGCGUAGGCGGUCUGAUAAGCCGGUUGUGAAAGCCCCGGGCUCAACCUGGGAACGGCAUCCGGAACUGUCAGGCUAGAGUGCAGGAGAGGAAGGUAGAAUUCCCGGUGUAGCGGUGAAAUGCGUAGAGAUCGGGAGGAAUACCAGUGGCGAAGGCGGCCUUCUGGACUGACACCGACGCUGAGGUGCGAAAGCGUGGGUAGCAAACAGGAUUAGAUACCCCGGUAGUC